AGCAGCCGCGGUAAUUCCAGCUCCAAUAGCGUAUAUUAAAGUUGUUGCAGUUAAAAAGCUCGUAGUUGAAUUUCGGGGUUAGUAGAUUGGUCAUGCCUCUGGUAUGCACUGGUCUCACUGAUUCCUCCUUCCUGAUGAGCCGUAAUGCCAUUAAUUUGGUGUUGCGGGGAAUUUGGACUGUUACUUUGAAAAAUUAGAGUGUUUAAAGCAAGCUAACGCUUGAAUACAUUAGCAUGGAAUAAUGAAAUAGGACGUUCGAUCCUAUUUUGUUGGUUUCUAGGAUUGACGUAAUGAUUAAUAGGGAUAGUUGGGGGCACUAGUAUUCAAUUGUCAGAGGUGAAAUUCUUGGAUUUAUUGAAGACUAACUACUGCGAAAGCAUUUGCCAAGGAUGUUUUCAUUAAUCAAGAACGAAAGUUAGGGGAUCGAAGACGAUCAGAUACCGUCGUAGU
Molecule: ribosomal RNA, 450 nt
Filed under: uncultured Glomeromycotina
Lineage: Eukaryota; Fungi; Glomeromycota
Description: SSU rRNA
Rfam family: Eukaryotic small subunit ribosomal RNA
Source: RNAcentral